UUUGGGACUGAGAUAUAUCAUCACCAGCUGUUCACAAAUACUGGAGAUGUUAUAUUCGUUAUAGAUGCGCAUCGUUUUCGCAUUCGUCAUUCUUUCAAAUUUCUUCACAGCUAUUUCCUUUUGGUAUACAUCAAUAUGACACGACUAUUUCCUGUUUGCGUGCUGCUUAUGAUUGUGAUAACAGUAGUUAUGACAGAAUGCCCUAACGAGUGUGAUGGAUGUUGCUACGGGAACAUAUGCCGUGGUGAGGGACAUACAUGGUUGGAAAAGUUGCCCCGGAAGUGUUCUCGGAAACAAUGCAAACGUGUUUGCGGUCGUUGGAAAGCAGUUGAAAUAAGAGAGUAUUGUCGGUUGAUUAAUGCCGUAUGUUCUAAGAUAGACACAUCUUAUGUGACCAUAAGUGAUGACAAAUGCUGGAAUUACACCUGCAAAUAUCAGGGAGAUUCAAAAAUUAUAACCACGGUAGAAUAUGCCGGAUUAUGUUAACGUCUAAAGACAGAUUUGCCAAUCGGAAACCGAAGCCAAAGUCAAACCAGUUUACUAUGAACUGAUAAAGAAGGAAAUAAUUAUACCGGGUUAAGAUUUAAUUAUUGUUAUAUAAUCAUCACUGAACUACGAUUGAGAAAUAAUGUAAUAAACUAAUUACUGAUCCAACCCUGCA
Molecule: long non-coding RNA, 661 nt
Organism: Octopus bimaculoides (California two-spot octopus)
Lineage: Eukaryota; Metazoa; Mollusca; Cephalopoda; Octopoda; Octopodidae
Source: RefSeq, a predicted model, not a curated record